This 504-nucleotide ribosomal RNA is filed under the name uncultured bacterium. Its description in RNAcentral is "partial 16S ribosomal RNA". It matches the Rfam family "Bacterial small subunit ribosomal RNA", at positions 28 to 506 of the family's 1533-position model. The record is from RNAcentral.
GACGAACGCUGGCGGCGUGCCUAAUACAUGCAAGUAGAACGCACAGUUUAUACCGUAGCUUGCCACACCAUACACUGUGAGUUGCGAACGGGUGAGUAACGCGUAGGUAACCUGCCUGGUAGCGGGGGAUAACUAUUGGAAACGAUAGCUAAUACCGCAUAAUAUUAAUUAUUGCAUGAUAAUUGAUUGAAAGAUGCAAUUGCAUCACUACCAGAUGGACCUGCGUUGUAUUAGCUAGUAGGUGAGGUAACGGCUCACCUAGGCGACGAUACAUAGCCGACCUGAGAGGGUGAUCGGCCACACUGGGACUGAGACACGGCCCAGACUCCUACGGGAGGCAGCAGUAGGGAAUCUUCGGCAAUGGACGAAAGUCUGACCGAGCAACGCCGCGUGAGUGAAGAAGGUUUUCGGAUCGUAAAGCUCUGUUGUAAGAGAAGAACGGGUGUGAGAGUGGAAAGUUCACACUGUGACGGUAUCGUACCAGAAAGGGACGGCUAACUACGU